Molecule: transfer RNA, 69 nt
Filed under: Pseudokuzicus pieli
Lineage: Eukaryota; Metazoa; Arthropoda; Insecta; Orthoptera; Tettigoniidae
Description: tRNA-Gln
Source: RNAcentral
UAUAUUUAGGUGUAUGAUGCACAAGAGUUUUUGAUACUUUAGGGAGUAGUUUAAAUCUACUAGAUGUAA